AAGAGCCGCGUGAUAAGCUCAUUGCGGCCAAUGCAAUCUUCUACAUAACUUUUGAUUGCGUGGAGGAUCCAACGAAAGGUCGUUACAGGGCGGUUGUACGGAAGACGAUGGAUGGUAAACCUGGGCACAUGCGCCUCGAGGUUACGUGUUCGAGAGUCUAAGGAAUCGGAGAUCAAAUUUCAGUAUCUUGUUUAAAUUCACAAGACUUCUUAACUUGGAAAAAUCUCGAGAAUGUAUUAAUAAGUAGUAUCAAUGUAUGAUCGAACUGAUAGAUCAGAAUUAUGUUAUGAAACUUAAAGUUAUUCCCAUUUUAUUGUCAGCAUAUUUUCUUUGUUGUACAUGUUUAUUGUAAAAAAGGUUCCGCUAAAACUGGGUAACCAAAUUGAUGAUAACCACUUGGAUGAUCUUGACAAUUUGAUUAUGCAAACAUACAAGGACAUUUGGAUGAUAUUUUGUUUAUGGCUGCAGAGUCCAGAAGCGGAUGAAUUAUCUAAGCAUGCUAAAAUCAAUAGUUGUGGUCUCUGUAUUCCAGUGACAUCCUAGUUGUAACAACUCUUUAGUAUGUUUUAAUCUAUAAGUUUUUUUUUUUUCCCAACUGAAGUUUAUUAAUAGGAUUAAAUCCAAAAUGGGCAAAGCCCAAACCUUACAAAAAUCCGAAGCCCAAAAACAGAGGCAUACAACCAAGUAAAACAAACUAGGCCCGAGGCCCACACAAACAACCGAAACCCUAGUAGGCUAGGCGUCGCUCUUCACGCGAAGCCGCACGCCUCCUUUCUUCCUCCGGUACCAGCGACCGCGUCACGACGACUCAACGGCCACCGUCGACAGCAAAGUCGAAACCGGAACUCAACCAUUCAACCAGACCUUCGAGAUACUCGAAUCCAACAAACACAUAAACUUCAAACCAAACAGACGGAUCUACGAAUUACCAACAGAUAUUAAAGCCUACAAUCGAUUCAUCAUCUCCGACAUAUAAGCGGCAACAGAUUCAGAUCGAGAAGCGAUAACCAAAGAAGCUCAAACUCGUAGAUCUAAAUGAGGAGAAAUAAAAAAAACCCUAAAACGAACGCCGGCGCCAGCGAUGUUGCGGAAGCCACCGCCUCCCGGAAGCAGAAGCCGACGAUGGCGAUGCUGAAGGAGCCACCGCCUCCCGGUACCCAAAGCCGGCGAAGAAGGUGCUGAAAAAGCCACCCCUUCCCAGAAACAAGUCGGACGACCACCAUAGAGAGGUGCGACGCCGAAACCUAUGUAGAUCAAGAGACCCCGAACAAAAGCCAGAUGCUAAAACGAAAAAAAGAACUCCACAACCGGACCGACGGUGGCUCAGAGAGCCUCGCCGUCGGCCGGAAAUCUCUCUCUCUCUUUUCUCUCUCUCUUUGAUCAGCUAUUCCAGAUAAUUGAUGUUUAAUCUAUAAGUUAGCCGAUAAAGAAAAAACAAUAAUACUUUGGUUUAUUAUUCGGUAUCGCCAACAAUGUUGGGCCGGUAGUGUAGUUUUAGUCUUUUAAUAAUAAUCAUCAUGGGCUCUGAAAAUACGGGUUUUGGGUCUUAACCCGGUAAGUAAAGUGAGAUAGAUCCGGAUGGAUAUUGUUUUCCUCUAGCGCGUCUCGGUUCCGGCUAAUUCGAGAAAGGAGAAUCAGAAGAAGAAACGAAGCUGUGAAUCGUCCGUCGCUUGUGUAAGGAACGGAACUCUCUCUCUCUCUCUAGAUCUUCGAGUAUCUAUAACGAUUAUAUGAAUCCUAGAUCUUUUCGUGUUCAUUUAGUCGUAAAAGAAAAGAAAAGAAAAGAAAAAAUUAUCUUUUCGUGUUCAUCUAGCGCUCAUUUACUGUAUCCUUUCUCUUCGGCGUAGCCUAAGGCUGUGGAUUGUUCCUAUUUGUUAAACUAUGCAUCAAUCUUAGGAAAUUAGGGUUUUAUGAGGCUUGAAUUGUUGUAUCUGUGAUUGUUACUCCAUCUGUGAGUGGAGUGUCAAAAUUAAACUACGGCUGUCUAGGUUACGAUAUAUUGAUCUCGUUUCUUUUUUGCCGCACGAUCUAGUUUUUUUUUUUCGUAAAUGCAUUACCAUCUAUUUUGCUUGUUGAGCUACAUGACUGCCUCCUCUGUAACUGUGAUCAUCACUAUAUUAGCUUAAAGAGCUUAACAUUCAGUUCAGUAUGUUGCUCUACAUAAAGUUACUUUUAGAUUGGCUUGAAUUUGAACGUUGAGUUAUUCACUUUACAACAACUGAUUCAAUCUCAUCAGUAAAGAGAUGCUUUUAGAUUUGCUACUUAUAGCCUGUUUAUCGCAUCUGAAUUUAUGCAAGGCAUUUUCUGGUUACAUUUACUGGGAGUCAUUAGAAAGUGUGUUCUCUUUCUGUUGUUGUCCUUUUAUAUAUCUCUUACCUUUAAACACGAUGCACUGCAGAAAAAUCUGUAAACAUGGCUGAUUCUCAUUUACACCCAGCGUUAACACGGGUACGUCGUCCAAGAGAGAAUCAUUAUUCGUUACACAUUCAUUUUAGUCUGCUUCUUAUGUUCUCACUGGUUAUGCAGCACCGCCACACUGUACCAACCAUCUCCGAUGAUUUCUACAACUAUAUGAAGCUGAUAAAGAAAACUGAGCCUGAAAUCAUGUCUAAACUUUUGCCUAUUCUACGCACAAUACCAGACUCCGGUAUCCAACUCGUUAAUACCAAGACUACAGAGUUGUUUUGCACACUAAUAGUGAGUUUCAAUUGCAGAUUCGAAGGGACGAGAGAAAGUUGGAAGAACAGUAUGCUGUUUUGCAGUAUGAUGAAGAUCAUGGUAAAUUGUCUCUUAAUGUUCACAUUGGAUGCAUACAAAUACGUGUAUAUCUUUGCUCAUGCAUCUUUUCUUUUCCGACUCUUUGACAUAUCUGUGCAGAAACAGUUUGGGCUGUCAUAGCAGCCAAGUUGUUCAGUGUUGUAAAACAUAGACCGAAGAGCAUCUUCACUAACUACUCAGCCCAGUAUAUACUUGACUUCGCUCCUCGCCCGGGAAAGACUCAGAGAAAACAUCAGCAUACUUGUUGCAAACCUCUUACCGUAGCGUACUUGUUGCAAACCUCCAACACGUAACCUCGAGGCUCAUGUGCCCCGGUUUCCCAUCCAUCGUCUUCCGUAUGACCGCCCUGUAACGACCUAUUGUUGGAUCCUCCACGCACUCAAAAGAUAUAUAGAAGACUGCAUUGGCCGCAUUGAGCUUAUCACUCGGCUCUUUCUCAUCAAGGGUUUCCACAACCACAUGUUGAGUAAUCAAGGGUCGGCAAUCUUCAAUCUCUCCCGGACUGAGCGGUCCAUUCCAUUUCGUGAAGAAGGCAAACUCGGUUAAGAGAGGCAGCCACCCGUUUUUCUCGUCAUGAAGCUCUGAUUGUUCAACCUAAUGGAUCCACACACCCAAUAGUAAAAAAAAACAAUGGAAACAUGAAUGGUUUUGUGCUUUAUAUGAAUUGACUACAAGACAGAAGAGUUACCACAUAGCAUCGUUGCUGACGGUCAUCAGACAGCCAUUUAGGCAUUUCACCUUUGUAAUAAUCAUGUACUGCUCCAUCGUUCCACUCAUAAUCAGCCUCUUCGCUACCUUUUAACCACACAAAGAAAAACUUAUGAUAAUAUGGCAGAGCAACUCCCAUCAAUAACCUAUACGGAUACCUUUUUAGACACUUUUUUUUACCUUCCACCCUGCAAAUGUGCGUCUCCCACCACAAAUUUGGGACGUGUGUAACUUGAUCAUCGUUAUGCUUAACACAAGUCUCGAAAGUCAGUGGAGAACGGUCGGCUGGAUUAACGGCCUCAAAUGUUACGAAAGACUUGGUGAAGUAAAGGUGAGUCUGCUCAUGUAACUGACUGAUAAACCGAAAAUCGCAAGCUGUGCCCUAGAGAGAUGAGAAAGUAACUGGAAAGCUUAACUUAGGUGAUAAGUUUAGAUAGUGUUCGUGUAAUAAAAUAGGAAAAAAAUAACCUUCUGAAGAUUGUAACAGUAGAGUGCAAGUCUAGCGCAGAGGCCUCUGUCAUAAUAAAACCGCCAUGCUUUAGGUUUUAUCCUCCUACCUGCAAAAAAAGCCUACGCACAAUCACAACUAAAUUAACAUCGCCACAGAAAGGAUGCAUUAUAAAUACACAAGUCACGUAAGAUAAGACAUGAAGAAAGGGAGAGAAAGAAGUUACGUUGGCAUCUGUAACGUAUGUGGACCACCCUCGGUCAGCUGGAUCAUCAUCGGAGAAGGAAUUUUGUUCAUCUUCUCCGAGCUCCUUCAAUUCCGCUCGGACUUACAUAACCACGUAAUAUAUGAGAACCGAUCAUUAGCUAUGAAAGGAAGCUGCGGCCUGUAUUCAGAGAACCUCCGCUGCGAUUCGGGCAUACUCAGGAUCAUAGUACAUUAUUGAGUAUUCACAUAAUGGGUUGAACAAAUAAGGAAAAAUGAAUACGAAACUGAAAGAAGUUACCAUUCAUUCUGCUUGCAGAUGCUUUAAAAAAAGUGUGCAGCCUUAGGGAGCGAACAUCAAUGAUUAGACAUAAGUCAUAACAGAUCAAUGAACCAUUCGUUCUCAUACUAAUUAUUGCAUUACAAACAGAAAUCUCUCCUUAACGAUGAUAAUAGAUCCAACUCGUUCUAGUCCAAAUAGUUUUAGACAAACACAACAUAAAACAUUUAACAUAUCAUGACAGAAUUAGUAAAUAGCCUUAGAAAUUAUAAACGAGUAGAUCCGCAGUUCUGUCUAUUGUUCUUUUUCUUCAGCUUAAUAGCGUUAAUGAUAGGUAUUGUAAAAGAGCAGAUCCCUAUCAAUCUUUUCUUCUUCUUCAGUUCAAUCUGCUGUUGCUGCAACUUCAAUAUACAUAUGUCCUGGCUUGCCAUCCCUGGUUUUCCUUAUUACCGCGCUGUGAUCACCCGCCCAUUCUGAAGAUUCACCAUUAUACUUGUAACUUACGUAGAAGAUUGCAUUAUGGGCUUUCAGCUUCUCAUGGCCUUCUUCUGUGUCUUCUUUAGUUACUACAACCACCUUCUCAAUCUCCAAGGGUGGGGGAGCAGUCAACACCUACAAAAGAAAAAGGUUCAAGUUAUUUUCUUUCUUUUUUUUGCAGAGAAUCUCUCUCAAGGGGACUUACAUUAUUUGUUUUUGAGUAGAACGCAAUUUCGGUGAAUAGAUACAGCCAAUCAUUCUCCUGCAACUCUGAUUCUUGCACCUGUGAUGAGAUCAACAGAACAGAAUGUAUGUUACCUGCCUAGUUAACAUGUCAGACAAGUUGCCUUCUCAAGCUAAAAAGAAAAAAAAAGAAGUUGCAGUUUCAAACAGUGGAUAUGAUCUUACCACAUAAUAAUUUUUCUUGCCACGAGACAAUUCUUCAUCAGACGACCAUUUGGGUAUUCCAUCUUUGUAGAAAUCAUCUACUGCCUUAUCGUCCCAAUGAUCAUCCGCAGCAUUUUCACCUAUAAAAGAGUUCUCUAUAAACAGUUAGUUCUCUUAAAUUAAACCAGAACUCCAAGCGAUAUAUAUAAAGACUUAGACAAUAUCCAUCACAGACCACGAAUGUUGGUGAUAUAAUCUUACAUUUGAUUCUGCAGGCUAAGGUAGUCCACAUAACAGGACGGUCUGGAGAAGAAUCUUCGUUUAACAAGGUCUGAAAAGAGAAGACCGAGUCAGAGACAGGAUCCUUGGCGUCCAAAGUUACAUAGACGUAGUCGUAUGCAGUAGAGAUAACACUAUACUUUUCCCAGCGCACAAACUUGAAGUUUGUUCCCUGUCAAAAGCAAAAAAACAACUCAUAAGAAAAAGGGAAUCAAGGUUACACUCAACACAUCAAGUAGGAAAAUACAUUUAAACAACACUUAACCAUUUUUAAAACUCAAAAUCAUGCAAUCCACCAUUUUAAAAGAAUGCGACAUUAUAAUUUAUUCACCUCAUCAUGUUCAAUAUAUCAGCUGACAACGAAAAAACAAACUCAUAUAGGUAAAACAAAUGGUAGUAGGAAAACUCAUGUUAGUAUAAUAUCUUCAAUCUUUUAACAUAUGAAUUUAACUAAAAUCUUAAUGCCAAUGUUUUACACAGCAUAAUAAUGUAUAUGAAAAUCCUAAAUAAAGAAAAACUUAAAGACUGUUCUCCCCCCCCGCAUUGUAUAACAUUGAUCGACAGAGGUGAAAGUUUAUUUACCCAACAACAAUAAUAUUUUGCAGAGCAAUGGAAAAAAAAAAAGACAUGAAAACGAUACCUUCUGAAAAUUGUGGCAGUGGAGUCCAAGUUUACCAUAAAGGGCGAUGUCAUAGUCAUCGCCCCAAGUAGACUUAACUAGUCUAGACGGAUAACAAGAGUUAUUCACAUCAAAACCCUACAAAAAAACACGAAGAAAAGUAUCAACCUUCUUUCUUUUAUUUUACACGAAGAGAUCAUCCACUGAAACGACCUGGUAAUCAAAAUCUGAUAUAACAAGCAGCAACAUCAUGAUUACGAAUUCGAAGAGAGAUUACAUCGGCCAACCCUUCUUUAUUGAAAUCGGGAACGUUUGGAACAACAUCCAAACCGAAGAACUUUAGCUUAGCCUUCCGCCUUCUUUUCUCCCUUCGCAAUAACUCAAAAUCCUCCAUAACCUCCUCCAACCAACUCUUCCCCAGAUCUCACAAAAAAUUUCUGGAUAUAUGAGAGAGAGAGAGAACUAACUUUAGGUGACAAGGUACGGGUUAAUACGACGUCGUUUUGUAGGUCUACAGAAAACAGAAUACCGAAACAAAAUUGUAAAAGCCCAUAAAUCUAGGGGUCUAAGUCCACAGAGUGGUGGCCCAUUUGCGACCCAUUUGUUGUUCUUUAUCAUAUUGCCGUAGUAGUAGUCGGUCGAUCUGAAAAAUUAGGGUGAAAAUGGGGGAUUCGUCGCCAGAAUAUGAUCCAGAGUAUGCCCGAAUCGCAGCGGAGGUUCUCCGAAUUUUCUUUAAUCAUCUUCUUUAGGCCUGCCUGUAGCUUCCUUUCAUCGCAAGUGCUUGGUUCUAUAAUACAUUCCUUGGUUUUUGUAGGUGCGGGCGGAAUUGAAGGAGCUCGGAGAAGAUGAACAAAAUUCAUUCUCCGAUGAUGAUGAUCCCGCUGAUCGUGGGUGGUCCACAUACGUUACAGAUGCCAAAGUACGUACCAUCUUGACUUGUCUUCCUUUCUUCAUCUCUUCUCACAACACUUAACUUGUGUGUAUUUAUAUAAUCCGUUUGUCUAUUUUCUUUCUGUGGGUGCUGCUGAUAUAGUUGUGUUUGUGCGUAUAGGCUUUUUUUGCAGGUAGGAGGAUAAAACCUAAAGCAUGGCGCUUUUAUUAUGACAGGGGCCUCUGCGCUAGACUUGCACUCUACUGUUACAAUCUUCAGAAGGUUUUUUUUGUUUCCCUAUUUUAAAUACGCAUGCCUUCUCAACUUAUCACCGCUUUCCCGUUUCUUUCUCAGGGCACAGUUUACGAUUUUUGGUUUAUCGGUCAGCUACAUGAGCAGACUCACCGUUCCUUCACCAAGUCUUUCAUAACAUUUGAGGCGGUGAAUCCAGCCCACCAUUCUUCUCCAAUCACUUUCGAGACUUGCGUUAAGCAUAUAGAUGAUCAAGUUACACACGUCCCCAAUUUGUGGUGGGAGACUCACAUUUGCAGGGUGGAAGGUAUACAAUCUUUCUAAUUAAUAGCUUAUUGAAUGGGGUUCCUCUGCCAUUAUCAUAAAGUUUUUCUGUGUGUGUGGUUAAAAGGUAGCGAAGAGGCUGAUUAUGAGUGGGACGAAGGAGCCGUAAAUGAUUGUUACAAAGGUGAAAUGCCCAAAUGGCUGUCUGCUGAAGAUCAGCAACGAUGCUAUGUGGUAACACUCUUCUGUCUAGUAGCAAAAUCAUAUAAUUAUAAUGCACAAAAUCAUUCAUGUUUCCAUUGUUUGUUUUUCAUUGGGUGUGUGGAUCCAUAUAUAGGUUAAACAAUCAGAGCUUCAUGACCAGAAAAACGGUUGGCUGACUCUCUUAACCGAGUUUGCCUUCUUCACGAAAUGGAAUGGACCUCUCAGUCCGGGAGAGAUUGAGGAUUGCCGACCUUUGAUUACUCAAGAAGUGGUUGUGGAAACUCUUGAUGAAGAAGCUGAGAAAGAGCAGUCGAGUGAUAAAGUGAUCAAUGCGGCCAAUGCAAUCUUCUACAUAUCUUUUGAGUGCGUGGAGGAUCCAACGAAAGGUCGUUACAGGGCGGUUGUACGGAAGACGAUGGAUGGGAAACCUGGGCACAUGCGCCUCGAGGUUACGUGUUCGAAAGUCUGAGAUCAAAAUUUCACUAUCUUGUCGGAAUAUUCUCGACAAUAUUAAUUAGCUAAGCAUGCUUCUUUAUAUGUUGUCUCCAUGAAA
Molecule: long non-coding RNA, 8324 nt
Filed under: Brassica napus (rape)
Lineage: Eukaryota; Viridiplantae; Streptophyta; Magnoliopsida; Brassicales; Brassicaceae
Description: long non-coding RNA (BNAP_LNC009252)
Source: RNAcentral